CUCGGCCAGGAGCGCGGCCGCUGCGGCCACGCGGGGCAUGGCGACGGCGUGUGAAUCGUCUGCGGGGCGGUCCUCGGCGCGUCGUGUGUGUGCCAUGGUGCAGGAGGACGCACGCAACGGGUCCCUUGUGUGGUUUUUUGUGUGUUUUGUGUCGCCCGAAAGGAGAGGGGUCGUAACGAAAAAGCAAGGCAGCGGGUCAAACAGUGUGUCCUGUCGCCUUUCUUUUCCACUUUAUUUCUUGUCGCG
RNAcentral lists this long non-coding RNA (246 nucleotides) under Pandoravirus dulcis. Its description in RNAcentral is "putative ncRNA". The record is from RNAcentral.